AGACACAGAGCUGUGGACCCCUCAGAGGGUGGUGAAACAGCUUGCUGAUUGCUGUCAAGGUAUUCACUGACAAAAUGCAGUGGCAAUCACAAGCACGAAUCACGUACACUCCCUUUGUCAUAUGUCAUGGAUGGAGUUGUGUCCCCUCCCCUAAAUUCUUAUGUUGCAGCCCUAUCCCCCAACAUAGCUAUAUUUGGAGAUCAGGCCUGUGAAGAGGAAAUAAAGGAAAAGCCACUGAGGAUACGAGAAGAAGGCAGCCAUCCCCAAGCAGGAAGAGACACUCCACAGGAACUGAACUUGCCACCACCCUGAUAUCGAACUUCUAGUUUCCGUAACUAUGAGUUAUAGCAGAAGGCACACUUGUGUUCAGGACAACUCGGCAAAGCCUGUGGUGAAGAGCGACAGUGAGAGAGAGGAAUACAGAACAGCUGUGUUUAAGUUCCAUCACUGCAGCUGAUGUGUACCUGGGAGAACAGUGUUCUAAACGACAGGCUGGAAUGCAGUGGUGCAAUCACAGCUUACUAUAGCCUCAACUUCCUGGGCUCAAGCAAUCCUCUUGUCUCAGCCUCCUGAGUAGCUGGGACUACAGGCCUCAUUUGCUAGCUACAGAUUCUUGGGUAUGAUAUCUUGCUUCAGUGUAUGCUGUGAAUGAACUCCACACAUCCAAGAGGCAGAAGGAAACAGAAUCAUACGAAGUCUGCCUGAAGCUGUGGAAAGUGGUCAGGUUGGGUAGAAGUCACAGACCAUGAUAAGGUGGUAAGGACUUUGGUUUAAAUCUUUAUUUUUAUUUUUAAGGUUUUUUUUGUUUGUUUGUUUUGAGACGGAGUCUCGCUCCACCGCCCAGACUGGAGUGCAGGGGCGCGAUCACGGCUCACUGCAAGCUCCGCCUCCCGGGUUCACGCCAUUCUCCUGCCUCAGCCUCCCGAGUAGCUGGGACUACAGGUGUCCGCCACCACGCCCAGCUAAUUUUUUUGUAUUUUUAGUAGAGACGGGGUUUCACCGUGUUAGCCAGGAUGGUCUCCAUCUCCUGACCUCGUGAUCCGCCCGCCUCGGCCUCCCAAAGUGCUGGGAUUGCAGGCCUGAGCCACCGCGCCCGGCCUGACUUUGGCUUAAUUCUAAACAUAAUUGGAAGCCACUGGAGAGUUUUAAACAGGAGAGUGACUUCAUAUGAUUUAUUUUUCAAAACUCAUUCAGACCUUACACUCUACACACACACACACACACAAACUCAAAAUGAAUCAUAAACCUAAAUGCAGAAUGCUAAAUUAUAAAAUUUUUAGAAAAUAACAGGAGAACAUCUAGGUGACCUUGAGUUGGGUGAUGACUUUUUAGAUACCAUAUCGAAGGCACAAUCCAUGAAAGAAAUAAUUGGUAACUUGGAUUUCAUUAAAAUUAAAAACUUCUGUUCUGUGAAAGAUACUGUCAAGAGGAUGAGAAGACAGGCUGUGGCCUGGAAAAAAAAUAUGCAAGGUUAUUAUCCAAAAUAAGUAAAGAACUCUUAAAACCCAACAAUAAGAAGAUACCACAACCCAAUGAACAUAUGGACAAAUGAUCUGAACAGGCACCUCACCAAAGAAAAUAUACAGAUUGCAAAUACAUUUAUACAAAGAUGCUCCACAUCGUAUGUCAUUGGGAAAACGCAAAUUGAAAUAACGAGAUACCACUACACACCUAUUAGAAUUGCCAAAAUCCAGAACGCUGAAAACACCAAUUGCUGGCAAGAAUGUGGAGCCAUAGAGAUUCUCAUUCAUUGCCAGUGGGAAUGCAAAAUGGUUCAGCCACUUUGCAAGACGGUUUGGCAGUUUCUUACAAAACACUCUAACCAUUCGAUCCAGCAAUCAUCCUCAUUGGCAUUUACCCAAAUUGAGUCGAAAACUUAUGUUCACACAAAAACCUGUACACGGAUGUUUCUAGCAGCUUGUUCUUCAUAAUUGCCGAAACUUUAAAGCAACCAAGAUGUCCUUUAGUAGGUGAAUGUAUAAACUGUGGUACAUCCAGACAAUGGAAUAUUAUUCAGCAUUAAAAAGAAAUGAGCCAUUAAGCCACAAAAAGACAAGGAGGAACCUUACAUGCAUAUUACUAAGUGAAAGAAGCCAAUCUGAAAAAGCCACAGAUUGUACGAUUCCAAUCAUAUGACAUUCUGGAAAAGGCAAAACGAUGGAGACAAAUAGUUUUGCCUUUUCCAGAUCAGUGGUUGCCAAGGGUUGGGAAUAAAUAGGCCCAGCACGGAGAAAUUUUAGGGUAGUGAAACUGUAUGAUACUACAAUAGUGAAUACAUGUCAUUAUACAUUUGUCAAAACCAUAGAAUGUACAACAUCAACAGUGAACUCUAAUGUAAACUACAGAGUGCAGGUGAUAAUGGUAUAUCAGUGUCGGUUAAUCGAUUAUAACAAAUGUACCGCUCUGGUGGGGUUGGGGGCGGGGGGUUGAUAAUGGGGGUGGCUGUGGGCCGGGGAGAGCUUGCUGGGGAAUUCAGUACUUUCCACUUAAUUUUGCUGUGAACCAAAACUGCUCUAAAAAAAUAAAAUUGAUUAAAAAGCAACCAAACAAACAACCCAUUCAAGAAUAUUGAGCACUUUGAGAGUGGAUUAUCAGGGUGGGAACAGGGCAAAGCAGAAGCAAGGGGCCCAGUUUGAAGGUUACUGCAAUUAUUCAGGCAAGAGAUUAUGGUGACGUGGGUUUGCCUGCCAGCACUAGAGAUGAUGUGAAGUGGUUGCAUCUGGGAUGCAUUUUGAAGCUAUAAUCAACAAAACUUGCUGAUGGGUUGUGUCUGUGGGCAUGCUGAAGGAAACAGAAUAUCAAGGAUGACUCCCAUGCCAUCUGCUGAGAUGGGAAAGCCUGUGAAAAGAAGAGAGGAAUCCAAAAUGAUCCCUGGGUUGUAUUUACAUACAAUGUUUGUAUUUGCUGAAGUCUCCAAAGGGAAUGCAGCUCUUUAUGCAGUCUCUAUGAAGAUCACGAAUCAGAGCAUUUCCAACACAAAUGCCUGUAUAAUCAUUUGCCCUUGGCCUGUCCUUUUGUGCCAUUGUGUUUUUGCAUUAUCACUGGUGGUAUGAACAUAUCAUUGAAUCUGCAACAUUAAAACAUGAUGAUCAAUUCCUGAG
Pan troglodytes (chimpanzee) is the source of this 3101-nucleotide long non-coding RNA. RefSeq lists it as uncharacterized. The transcript has 5 exons. NCBI's taxonomy places the organism in Eukaryota, Metazoa, Chordata, Mammalia, Primates, Hominidae. The record is from RefSeq and is a predicted model, not a curated record.